MicroRNA precursor from Oryza sativa Japonica Group (Japanese rice), 82 nucleotides. It matches the Rfam family "MIR814 microRNA precursor family". The record is from Rfam. Lineage: Eukaryota; Viridiplantae; Streptophyta; Magnoliopsida; Poales; Poaceae.
GUGGGAUGUGACACAUCCUAGUACAACGAAUCUGGACAGUAAUUUGUCCAGAUUCGUUGUACUAGGAUGUGUCACAUCCCAC